This is a non-coding RNA of Caenorhabditis elegans, 21 nucleotides long. Lineage: Eukaryota; Metazoa; Nematoda; Chromadorea; Rhabditida; Rhabditidae. The record is from Ensembl.
UACUAUGAAAGUCGAAGAUCG